Molecule: RNA transcript, 2683 nt
Organism: Spinacia oleracea (spinach)
Lineage: Eukaryota; Viridiplantae; Streptophyta; Magnoliopsida; Caryophyllales; Amaranthaceae
Exons: 4
Source: RefSeq, a predicted model, not a curated record
GCAUUUUCUGCGAUAAACGCUGCAAAAUAACCCUUCAGAUCUAGAAUCCCCUUAUCCAAGACAUAAAGACCUCCUCCCAACCUCUCACUCUUCUCUCACAAUCUCUCACUCUAAUUCCCUCCCCUAUUCCAUAAUCUUCCAAGAUCUAACUUUUAUUCAAUUCUGCUUUGAUAAUGUCGACCAGAGAAUUGAAAUCGAAAAAUCAAUUCAAAUCUAAGAAGUUGGAUACAAGAAGUUAUGUGUUUUCUAAAAAUUGGAAGAUAUAGGUUCCCGGCCGUCGAGGUGAUUGAUUUUCUUCAACCUACUCCGAAUUAUCUACUUGAUUUCCGAAACCGCCAGUCACCGGAGAACGACAAGUAUGGAGAACGACAAGAUAUUCGAGGGCGAGUUUCCCGAUGCCGGCUUACGGUGUUGCCGCAAGAUCCUAACUCCUCACAGAUCUUGAAAAGUUGACGAUAUGAGAAAGAUGCUUGAAGAUGAAGCUUGUGUGCUUUGUGAAAUACAUACGAAAGUCGAGCAGGCGAUGAGGAUUCACCAAGAUCUACUUGAUUUCCCUGAACGCUAAUCACUGGAGAACGACAAGUAUGAAGAAGAAGUAUGGACAUCAACAAGAUCUUCGAGGGCGAGUUUCCUGAUGUUUACGGUGUCGCCGCUAUCAAAGAUCCUAACUCCCAGGUUUUUUCGUUUUUCUCUAUCAAAGAUACUUGGAGAACGACAAGUAUGAAGAAGAUUCGCUGAUUUGAUUGCUGAAUUGUUGGUGAUAUAUUGUUCUUCGUUUUUCUUGUUAAUUUGAUGAAAAUCUGGUGGGUUCUGUUAAUUUACAAAAUGCAAUUUAAAACAAAAAUCUACAACUAAGUCGAAAUCCUUCUUCAUGAUAUGGGGAAAACCCUAUGUUAAACUGAUUCGGGUCAUUUUAGGGUUUAAUUUGUUUUUAUUUAGGUCGAUGUAUUGAAUUUUUGGUCAAAUUGGUUUGGGUUCUUGGAUUUCUUAUAUUUUUGAAGGAGAUAGUCUUCAUCCAGUGUGACUAUGGUCAGUCAUGUGGUGGUAUGUGGGGAAGGGCUGGAGGGGGAAGAUGAGAAGGAGAUAGAGGGAGAGAUACACGAAAGAGGAGGGAGGGUGCAGGGUAAGGGGUGUUGUAUCGGUUGAUAUGGGCUUGCAGAAGGUGUUUCAGGAGGGAAGAAGAGGUUGGAGUUGUGGCAGCGAUUUCAACUUCAGUACUUGCUUUAAGCGCAAAUUUUUAUAAACAUCAUUUAUUAAUCUUAUUUUGACAUAGUCAUCUAGCAUAUGAAGCAUGAGAUGCAUUCCUAGUUUCCUACUUGCUAAGAGGUAUUCAAUGCUGCAUUGAUAUUUUAUAAUGGUCGAUAAUGUUGUACGCACAAACUCAUAUUUAUAUUGUACAUCAGCAUUGGUUAGCCAGUAUGCCCCUAAUUAUAAGCUCCAACCUUCUUACUGAUUAUUGCCAGGAAGUCUAGUCUUCGUUGGAAUUCACUAAUAUACUUUCUUAGGAGACUUUGGUCUAAUUAAAAAAUCCUUCAGUGUUUUAGUAGGAAAAUUCCUUUAGCAAUGAUGUUGGUGGAAUUUUAUUGGCAUGGACAACCUACAUGUAGUCCCGUGUAUGGUUUUGUUGAUAGUCUCUGUCAUUGAAAAACUUCUUUUGUUUGCUGCUGUGAACUGUAACCCAAGAUCGUUUACUUGUUAGGCCACUGUAACUCUGUCAGUCAAGUGGUAUUUGAAAUUGCCUGAUAUGUAGAUACAUUGCUUCAUAGUAGCUCGACUGCUAGAUAAUGACAAUGCCUUCUACAUUUUCAGGAACACCCUUAAAGUAUAUGGAGUAUUUUUGAUUUUGAGAUGCAUGAGCGUUCUUAAUUGACCCACCAUGCUCAGAAAAGUCUAAAUGUCUUAAAAAGAAUCAUAUAGUUUUUUCUUCAUCUCUACUAAAUCGUUAUAUAUCAUCAACAAACAUAUUGUGGGAAAGAAUAAAUCUUUAAUGCUGAAUUGGAGGUGUUUUUGGAAAGUGGAUUACCUUCUUCAAUCAUCAAAAAGGUACUCAUCUAAACUCCCUCCGUUUGUUUGAAGUUAACAUUUUACAGUGCUGAGCAAACUGAACAUAGAUAAUUGUAUUAUAUAAAAGAAAUUCAUAGAAGUCAAGUUAUUCCGUAAUUAAAAACAUAAACAAAUAAGAAUUUUUUGUGUUGUUUGAUGUGGAGAUAAUAUUUAGGGCUAGUUAUGUUCCUUAGGAUUUGUUGCUGGUGCCUGUUGUUUUUACUUCGUCUGUUUUUGCUUUCUGCUGUGUGUUACUGGUUGAUGUUGGUUGAUGUUGUUGGUGCUGCAUCUGCUUGUUCCUGCAGUUUUUGGCUGCUGUUGAGGCUGUUUUGGUGCUGGUUGCAGUCUACCCAGCUUCUCCAGGUGCUGCUGCAAGAGUGCUGGGUGUGGGUUGUACUCCUGAUCUAGUCUGUUCUGCAGGGAGUGCCCUGGGGUGUGUGCAGUUAGGUAUGCAUGAAUGGGUUGUUAUGUUGUUGCUGUGUACAGUCUGGCCUUAUGUAUUGCUUUUCACCUUUGUUGUGUUUGUAAUGUUUGGUUGUUAAGGAGUGGUCUGUACUCUAACCUUUUAUGGUGUUCCUUGUUUGGAUUCAUGGUUCCUACCUUUUGGUAAUAAAUUUUGCUAAUUUGCCAAAAAAAAAAA